Molecule: non-coding RNA, 841 nt
Organism: Macaca mulatta (Rhesus monkey)
Lineage: Eukaryota; Metazoa; Chordata; Mammalia; Primates; Cercopithecidae
Source: RefSeq, a predicted model, not a curated record
CCUCCGCCACCUGGCCGGCCUUCGCUUUGCACACGCGCCUUUCGAUGUAGCCUCCUAAAGAGGCAGAGGCGCUUUUCCCGCGUGACGCCCGGCGCAGCUUGAUGAUGACAUUUCGGCACCAGGUGGCCGAAUAGCGGCUUCCAGCUCCGAGGCGGGCAACACACUGUGGGUCCCACAGGUGUGCGGCGGAGGACGCGCGUGAGAGGGUUCUGCGCCCCGGCGGCUUCCCCGAGCCCCUGCCGUGGCCGUCUCCGUUCCUCCGCGGGUCCUGGGACUCCGGCCGUCCCCGGCCACUCUGCCCCGACUGGGCGGGCUUGGGAGGCGAGGGCCGCAGUUGAGUCCUCAUGACGGCGCCCUUUGGCCACGCCUUUGUGCCACUUUCCCGCGGGGCUCCUACACUGUUUCGAUUUUCUCUAUCAAGAGGUCUCCAGCCUGGGGCAGUGGCACGUGCCUGUAGUCUCAGCUCCUCAGGAGUCCGAGGCAGGACGAUCCCUUCAGUCAAAGAGUUCAAGGCCAGCCUGGGCAACAUGCAAAUACCAUCACUACAGACAUCUGGUCAAAGCCAAGGUUCACCUAUUGAGAGCAACUGAUGGGCACGCUCCAGUGUGCUGUUUAGCGCCAGCUGUAGCCCAUGUGCAGGAUACGUGUGCAUGAGAUGGGUGAGUCCUGAGCUCCACCUGUCCACGCAGCAGGAGCCACGGGGCAGCUGGGGGGACACAAGACAUUCUCCAAGACAAUGCUGGUCUUAAAAGUACCAGAGGUUGGCUGGGUGCAGUGGCUCAUGCUUGUAAUCCCAGCACUUUGAGAGGCCAAGGCGAGUGGAUCACUUGAGGCCAGGAGU